Oreochromis niloticus (Nile tilapia) is the source of this 2359-nucleotide long non-coding RNA. RefSeq lists it as uncharacterized. The record is from RefSeq and is a predicted model, not a curated record. NCBI's taxonomy places the organism in Eukaryota, Metazoa, Chordata, Actinopteri, Cichliformes, Cichlidae. The transcript is spliced from 2 exons.
GUUUAAUGUCAGACAAUAUUUUCAGGGAACGACCUUUAAGGUGUCGCGGAUAAAUACAACAAAAGAAUAAAAAAGAAACUGUGGUAUUUUGUAAAUAUAAUAAUAAAGGUGACUUGAGCUGUGCGCCAACAACACAGUGACAUCCUCCUCUCUGCUUCUUAAUGCUCUCUGGUCGCUAUGGUAACGCGUAAAUAGUUAUUUCAAAAUAAGACACACAACUACAACCAUACAUUUCACACCGGAGCCUCAACUCUCGCGGAACGGUACCGGUCCGUGGGCCUAUUAGGGGCCGCUACUGUACAGGAGACACUGGACUAGAUUGAUUGACAAUGGUCUACAGCAAUCAGAACGCACAACACGAUGUACUGUAAAAAAAAUAAUAAAAUCAGUGAAACAGCGAGUGUCGCGGAAGGUGCGCCACGUUAUAGCACUUUUGGCCACGAACAAUUUAGGGGAUGGUGAAUUUUUUUGAACAAACCCAGAGUGUUAAAACCCCCCACUUAAAACCAUUUUUAUUUCUCAGCAGCAUCAAUAGUAACAAAAACGCAAUUUAGUUUUCGCUGUCAAAGUCGAUUUAACUGAAGUUACGUGUUUCCGGUUAGUGUGGAGGUCACGUGUAUCCGGUUACUGUGGAGCUCCACAGUGGCUGCAGCCAGGUGCUCGGGUGAGCUAUGACAGCGAUAUAAACCCCUCAGACUUCAUUCAAAAUGUGGGUGUUUGAUGGAGAGUUGCGGUUAGUGAGAGUUUGGAGAGAGUUUGGAGGUUUAGGAGAGUGAGGAGAGAAAGUCAGGAGAGAAUGGAGCCAGCUAAGAAGAGGAGGAUGUCCUCCCCUGUGUGGGAACAUUUUGAUCUUAUUCCUCCCAACAAGGUGAAGUGUUUGCUAUGUGCCAGGGAGCUGGGAUAUAACAACAACACCUCAUCCAUGCUUAGGCACUACAGAGCUUUGCAUGAGAAUAAGGGGAACACCGACUGUGGAGCAAGACCAGGUGAGCCAUCAAAUGCCAUGAUAAUAUAGCAUGCAGUCAUGUUAGUAAAUGAUAUAACAAUAUUAUACAAGUGUAAUAAAUUACGUAAGUUAUGUGUGUGAUAUUUAUAUUUGUGCUUUGUUUUUAUUGUCUUUCCUCAGGAGAACAAUCUCAAAUAGAUGAAGACCUGGUUAGCAUGGUGAUAGAGGACUCCCAGCCAUUUAGCAUUGUGGAGGACAAAGGAUUUAAAAGAUUUGUUAAAUCAGUAAAUCCUAGCACUAAAAAGGUCAUAAAAGCAGUGAAAAUUUAGUUUUUACAGAAUAAAAUGUGAACAGGCAGGACUGAGGCUCAAAUCCUCAGUGUGUAGCUGUCCAUACCUCAACGUUAAUAAAGCACAACCACUGUCCAUACCCCAACCACACCUCACCUCACAGUAAAUGAUCAUUUCCAUUUUAAGCAUUUCCAAAUAAUCAUAUUCCAUACUGCCAGUAUAAAUAUACACAGUAUACUGUCAUAACUACAAUAUACAUUUUUUACACACUCCUUUUGUUGCUGACAUUUACAGGCUGUGUGCAAAAUGCCACACUCUUCAAAUUAAUGCCAACUAAUAUUUUUACGUCCAGUAGAUGUCCUACUAGAGCAAAUGAAGCUUCAAGAAGCUUUGCGUUGGGGUGAACCAAUUGGAUGAAAAGCUUCAGUGCUUCAUGAAGCUUCAUCUGCCCAUCACUACACAGCAGGCCUUUUCCACACCUAGGCUGGAAACACACACUGACCAGCACAGAGGAAAACCACCAGAAACCUCUCCCACUGCUCCUACCACUCCACACCGUAGGCAGGACAAUCACACACAUAACACGCAACGCAGAGACACCAGAGAAAGCCACCCUCCCACAUUCAGUCCAUCCCCAGCUUAUAUAACCUCAGAGAGGUGAUUGAUGACUGGGCCCAGGUGGUAAAUGAGGCCAAUGAGCAGCAGCUGUGUCCUGAGGAGAGAGAAGAAGCGAGAGAGAGACAGAGGGGUGGAGCAAGAGAGGAGGAGGCGGAGAAAAACACCACGCCCACACAAGGGCAGUAUCAGGAGGCCCAGCUAGGGCCGUUACACAACACAUCCAAGAUUUGCCAUCCUUUCAAGGAUUCCAGCACUGUCAACACAACGCAUGUAAUCCCAUACUCUGUUCCACUGCACCCUGUGGACCAAGUGCCCUGAGGCAUCCUUUAACCAUUCUGUAGCCUAAAAAGACAUUCCAUAGUGAAACAAUUACAACAGCACAUUGGAAGGCACGUAUAGUACAGUAAAUCAAACUACUAACUAAUCAUGACAUUCAGCUAGUGUUAUUCAUGUAAAUAUGAAAGGUUGCUAGCAAGAAAAAUAAAAUAGAAUCUUAUUACAAGCA